Molecule: ribosomal RNA, 1167 nt
Filed under: Klebsiella michiganensis
Lineage: Bacteria; Pseudomonadati; Pseudomonadota; Gammaproteobacteria; Enterobacterales; Enterobacteriaceae
Description: partial 23S ribosomal RNA
Rfam family: Bacterial large subunit ribosomal RNA
Source: RNAcentral
GCUGAAAUCAGUCGAAGAUACCAGCUGGCUGCAACUGUUUAUUAAAAACACAGCACUGUGCAAACACGAAAGUGGACGUAUACGGUGUGACGCCUGCCCGGUGCCGGAAGGUUAAUUGAUGGGGUUAUCCGUAAGGAGAAGCUCUUGAUCGAAGCCCCGGUAAACGGCGGCCGUAACUAUAACGGUCCUAAGGUAGCGAAAUUCCUUGUCGGGUAAGUUCCGACCUGCACGAAUGGCGUAAUGAUGGCCAGGCUGUCUCCACCCGAGACUCAGUGAAAUUGAACUCGCUGUGAAGAUGCAGUGUACCCGCGGCAAGACGGAAAGACCCCGUGAACCUUUACUAUAGCUUGACACUGAACACUGGUCCUUGAUGUGUAGGAUAGGUGGGAGGCUUUGAAGUGUGGACGCCAGUCUGCAUGGAGCCAUCCUUGAAAUACCACCCUUUAAUGGCUGGUGUUCUAACGUGGGCCCGUAAUCCGGGUUGCGGACAGUGUCUGGUGGGUAGUUUGACUGGGGCGGUCUCCUCCUAAAGAGUAACGGAGGAGCACGAAGGUCAGCUAAUCCUGGUCGGACAUCAGGAGGUUAGUGCAAUGGCAUAAGCUGGCUUGACUGCGAGCGUGACGGCGCGAGCAGGUGCGAAAGCAGGUCAUAGUGAUCCGGUGGUUCUGAAUGGAAGGGCCAUCGCUCAACGGAUAAAAGGUACUCCGGGGAUAACAGGCUGAUACCGCCCAAGAGUUCAUAUCGACGGCGGUGUUUGGCACCUCGAUGUCGGCUCAUCACAUCCUGGGGCUGAAGUAGGUCCCAAGGGUAUGGCUGUUCGCCAUUUAAAGUGGUACGCGAGCUGGGUUUAGAACGUCGUGAGACAGUUCGGUCCCUAUCUGCCGUGGGCGCUGGAGAAUUGAGGGGGGCUGCUCCUAGUACGAGAGGACCGGAGUGGACGCAUCACUGGUGUUCGGGUUGUCAUGCCAAUGGCAUUGCCCGGUAGCUAAAUGCGGAAGAGAUAAGUGCUGAAAGCAUCUAAGCACGAAACUUGCCCCGAGAUGAGUUCUCCCUGACUCCCUGAGAGUCCUGAAGGAACGUUGAAGACGACGACGUUGAUAGGCCGGGUGUGUAAGCGCAGCGAUGCGUUGAGCUAACCGGUACUAAUGAACCGUGAGGCUUAACCUU